AAAACUUGAAGCACUUCAUGAUGAAUAUAUUAGUUUUCUGUGGAAAAAUGUGCCUCUGUGCUGAGAGAGUUCCAUUUGGCUGUAGAGACAAUUACAGAUGUUUUACUUGAAAAGGGAGAGAUUAAAGCAGAAGAAAUCUGGGAUAUAUACAAUAGGGCACCUCGAAUAUCUCAGCCUACUGUUAAUCCAGUUGAGGAAUAUGGAGCCCUGAUUUAUUCCGGGCAAUGGGGAAUCCAUGGG
This is a long non-coding RNA of Hibiscus syriacus, 240 nucleotides long. RefSeq lists it as uncharacterized. The transcript is spliced from 3 exons. NCBI's taxonomy places the organism in Eukaryota, Viridiplantae, Streptophyta, Magnoliopsida, Malvales, Malvaceae. The record is from RefSeq and is a predicted model, not a curated record.